AACGAACGCUGGCGGCAGGCUUAACACAUGCAAGUCGAGCGCCCCGCAAGGGGAGCGGCAGACGGGUGAGUAACGCGUGGAACGUGCCCUUUGGUUCGGAACAACUCCGGGAAACUGGAGCUAAUACCGGAUAAGCCCUUCGGGGGAAAGAUUUAUCGCCAAAGGAUCGGCCCGCGUCUGAUUAGCUAGUUGGUGAGGUAAUGGCUCACCAAGGCGACGAUCAGUAGCUGGUCUGAGAGGAUGAUCAGCCACACUGGGACUGAGACACGACCCAGACUCCUACGGGAGGCAGCAGUGGGGAAUAUUGGACAAUGGGCGCAAGCCUGAUCCAGCCAUGCCGCGUGAGUGAUGAAGGCCUUAGGUGUAAAGCUCUUUGUCCGGGAAGAUAAUGACUGUACC
Molecule: ribosomal RNA, 399 nt
Filed under: uncultured bacterium
Lineage: Bacteria
Description: bacterial SSU rRNA
Rfam family: Bacterial small subunit ribosomal RNA
Source: RNAcentral